UACAGAGACUGCAAGCGUUAUUCGGAUUCACUGGGCGUAAAGGGUGCGCAGGCGGCCAAGUGUGUUAGGCGUGAAAGCCUGAGGCUUAACCUCAGAAUUGCACCUAAAACUACAUGGCUAGAGCAUUGGAGAGGGUAGCGGAAUUCACGGUGUAGCAGUGAAAUGCGUAGAUAUCGUGAGGAACACCAGAGGCGAAGGCGGCUACCUGGACAAUUGCUGACGCUCAGGCACGAAAGCGUGGGGAGCGAACAGG
Molecule: ribosomal RNA, 253 nt
Filed under: uncultured bacterium
Lineage: Bacteria
Description: partial 16S ribosomal RNA
Rfam family: Bacterial small subunit ribosomal RNA
Source: RNAcentral